UUGGGUAGAUAUAUUCUAAUAUUUUUUUUGAUUAUUUUCUUUGCUUCUCACUAAGGACAUUAUUUUGUGUUAUCAACUUCAAAUUACAGAGGCAGUUGGAUACUUACUUUCUCCUUGCUCACAUGUGCUCUGUCAAGCUUAAAGAAUGGACGCUUGUCCUGUUUACUUCUAUUAAGAAGUUCUAAGGACCAGGCUUCUGAUGUUGGUGUGCUUCUUGCCGAUACUGAUGGGAUCUUCCACUCAAUCAAGAGUCGAUCCGAGCAAGAAAGAGAACCAGAUGCGAGCACAAAUAAAACUUCUUCCGAGGGAAGCAAGUACACUGUCACAGAUAAUAUUGAGGAUGAUAAUAAAGAUUAAUCUGUUUAUGAUUGUGGUUUAUUGGCUAAGAUGGAGUAGUGUUCAGAAUGAAUAUAUGUAUGCGGUUGACUAAUAAUUUUAAUUAGAAGAUAUUUAUGUAGGAUAUAAUAUUUUAAUUUAGUUUUCCGUAGAGUAUUAGUAGUAAAUUCUAAGUGAUCUCAUGUUUAUUUUGAUAAAGCUAUGCUUAAUUUAGUGUGAGAUGUAUGAAUAUUCAAAAUUAACUUCUAUUAUAGUA
Arachis ipaensis is the source of this 592-nucleotide non-coding RNA. Lineage: Eukaryota; Viridiplantae; Streptophyta; Magnoliopsida; Fabales; Fabaceae. The record is from RefSeq and is a predicted model, not a curated record.